UCGCGUCCUAUCAGGUAGUCGGCGGGGUAACGGCCCACCGAGCCUACGACGGGUAGCCGGCCUGAGAGGGCGACCGGCCACAUUGGGACUGAGAUACGGCCCAGACUCCUACGGGAGGCAGCAGUGGGGAAUAUUGCACAAUGGGCGCAAGCCUGAUGCAGCGACGCCGCGUGCGGGAUGACGGCCUUCGGGUUGUAAACCGCUUUUGAUCGGGAGCAAGCCUUCGGGUGAGUGUACCUUUCGAAUAAGCACCGGCUAACUACGUGCCAGCAGCCGCGGUAAUACGUAGGGUGCAAGCGUUAUCCGGAAUUAUUGGGCGUAAAGGGCUCGUAGGCGGUUCGUCGCGUCCGGUGUGAAAGUCCAUCGCUUAACGGUGGAUCUGCGCCGGGUACGGGCGGGCUGGAGUGCGGUAGGGGAGACUGGAAUUCCCGGUGUAACGGUGGAAUGUGUAGAUAU
This 456-nucleotide ribosomal RNA is filed under the name Bifidobacterium pseudocatenulatum. RNAcentral describes it as "bacterial SSU rRNA". It matches the Rfam family "Bacterial small subunit ribosomal RNA", at positions 231 to 697 of the family's 1533-position model. Lineage: Bacteria; Bacillati; Actinomycetota; Actinomycetes; Bifidobacteriales; Bifidobacteriaceae. The record is from RNAcentral.